AUUGAACGCUGGCGGCAUGCCUUACACAUGCAAGUCGAACGGCAGCACGGGAGCAAUCCUGGUGGCGAGUGGCGAACGGGUGAGUAAUAUAUCGGAACGUGCCCAGUCGUGGGGGAUAACGUAGCGAAAGCUACGCUAAUACCGCAUACGAUCUAUGGAUGAAAGCGGGGGAUCGCAAGACCUCGCGCGAUUGGAGCGGCCGAUAUCAGAUUAGGUAGUUGGCGGGGUAAAGGCCCACCAAGCCAACGAUCUGUAGCUGGUCUGAGAGGACGACCAGCCACACUGGAACUGAGACACGGUCCAGACUCCUACGGGAGGAAGCAGUGGGGAAUUUUGGACAAUGGGCGAAAGCCUGAUCCAGCCAUUCCGCGUGCAGGAUGAAGGCCCUCGGGUUGUAAACUGCUUUUGUACAGAACGAAAAGGUUUCUACUAAUACUAGGAGCUCAUGACGGUACUGUAAGAAUAAGCACCGGCUAACUACGUGCCAGCCGCCGCUGUAA
This 500-nucleotide ribosomal RNA is filed under the name uncultured bacterium. RNAcentral's name for it is "partial 16S ribosomal RNA". It matches the Rfam family "Bacterial small subunit ribosomal RNA", at positions 30 to 523 of the family's 1533-position model. The record is from RNAcentral.